RNAcentral lists this ribosomal RNA (497 nucleotides) under uncultured bacterium. RNAcentral describes it as "partial 16S ribosomal RNA". It matches the Rfam family "Bacterial small subunit ribosomal RNA", at positions 28 to 507 of the family's 1533-position model. The record is from RNAcentral.
GAUGAACGCUGGCGGCGUGCCUAAUACAUGCAAGUCGAGCUAACGGACGAGAAGCUUGCUUUUCUGAUGUUAGCGGCGGACGGGUGAGUAACACGUGGAUAACCUACCUAUAAGACUGGGAUAACUUCGGGAAACCGGAGCUAAUACCGGAUAAUAUUUUGAACCGCAUGGUUCAAAAGUGAAAGACGGUCUUGCUGUCACUUAUAGAUGGAUCCGCGCUGCAUUAGCUAGUUGGUAAGGUAACGGCUUACCAAGGCAACGAUGCAUAGCCGACCUGAGAGGGUGAUCGGCCACACUGGAACUGAGACACGGUCCAGACUCCUACGGGAGGCAGCAGUAGGGAAUCUUCCGCAAUGGGCGAAAGCCUGACGGAGCAACGCCGCGUGAGUGAUGAAGGUCUUCGGAUCGUAAAACUCUGUUAUCAGGGAAGAACAUAUGUGUAAGUAACUGUGCACAUCUUGACGGUACCUAAUCAGAAAGCCACGGCUAACUACGUG